This 305-nucleotide ribosomal RNA is filed under the name uncultured bacterium. Its description in RNAcentral is "bacterial SSU rRNA". It matches the Rfam family "Bacterial small subunit ribosomal RNA", at positions 335 to 657 of the family's 1533-position model. The record is from RNAcentral.
AGACCUACGGGAGGCAGCAGUGGGGAAUAUUGCACAAUGGGGGAAACCCUGAUGCAGCGACGCCGCGUGAGUGAAGAAGUAUUUCGGUAUGUAAAGCUCUGUCAGCAGGGAAGAAAAUGACGGUACCUGACCAAGAAGCCCCGGCUAACUACGUGCCAGCAGCCGCGGUAAUACGUAUGGUGCAAGCGUUAUCCGGAUUUACUGGGUGUAAAGGGAGCGCAGGCGGCACGGCAAGCCUGAUGUGAAAGCCCGCGGCCCAACCGCGGGACUGCAUUGGGAACUACCGGGCUGGAGUGCCGGAGAGG